This is a long non-coding RNA of Salvia miltiorrhiza (redroot sage), 1190 nucleotides long. RefSeq lists it as uncharacterized. The transcript has 2 exons. The record is from RefSeq and is a predicted model, not a curated record. Lineage: Eukaryota; Viridiplantae; Streptophyta; Magnoliopsida; Lamiales; Lamiaceae.
UCUCUCUCGUACACACACUAAUAUAAUCAUAUUCUCUCACUCAUUUUGGAGAAACCCUAUUUAGGGUUGACCAUACCCCUUCUCUUGAGAAAUGAGCCUCUCCUUAUUCUUCCACAGCUUUCUUGAACUGCGCCGAAUUGUACGUCGCCGCACCGGAGGCGAUGCAAUCGUAUGCGGUUCAAUAAAGCUGUGGGAAGAUACGGUGAGGCUCACCCGGAAUUCCACUUUCAUUGCAUGCUUUAUUUCCCCUUUUUCUUGCUCCAUUCAAUUCCUCCAAAUCCACAGUUGAUUUCUCGGUUGAUUUAAAAUUACUUGUUCUUGAUUUUUUUAAAAUUAAAAAAAAGGGGGGUUAUUGAAAUUGAUGUUUUUGAGAAUUAAUGGUGACAGGCCCUCAACCACACAAGAAGGAUAAGAGAAAAAAAGGAGAAAGAUCUGUGGGCUGUUUUGUUUGAGAUCUUUACAUCCAAAUAAUACCAAAAAAAAUAUGUAUAACCAAAAGGAGUGAGGGGUUGUAUUGGGUAGCUAUGAUUGGUGGGGACUGGUAAUUACAUAAUUUUUUAUUGUACAGAGAUGGGAAGAAUGGACCACAUAGAAUUGAUGAAAUGGAAGCAAGAGAAGCUAUGGAUGGAAAUGGCAAAGCAUGUUGCUGAAAAUGGGGGAUGCCUUUGUAAGUGCGAGGUAGAUAUAGCAUUUACCAAUGGUGAUUUCACCUUGGUAAGGGGUAAAAAGUCAAAAUGUUUGCAGAAGAAAACCAAACAAGUUGAAGAAAACUAGGUUGCCACCCCCGACCCCCACACAGGUAAAAAGACAUUCUAGUAGUAUGAAAACAACAAUCUUGUUUUGUCUUGUUAGGGCCCUAAUGCCUCAAUAUCAGAUACUAAUGUUCCUGCCCCUCCUCUUUAAUAUAUCAACCCCACUCUCUAUUGGGAUAAUCAACAUCUUAGUGGUAUCAUAUUAUAAUUAAUUAGUGCUGCUAACUUUCUUUUCUUUACAGCAAGGAAAUUAUUCAAUCAAUUAGUGCAUGGCUUGCUUUCUUCUUUUUGCUUUAAUUACCUCUUUCUGUGUGUGUGGUGAAAGAUCAAUAUAUAUGGGCAUGGAUGAAUGUAUUUUUAAUAAAUUAUCAAGUAUAGAAAUGUGUGUAUAUAAAUAUAGUUGGUUUUUUUUCUAUUAAAGUGAAAAGUAUUUGUCUG